This 89-nucleotide non-coding RNA is filed under the name bovine gut metagenome. RNAcentral describes it as "Glycine riboswitch". It matches the Rfam family "Glycine riboswitch aptamer", at positions 9 to 86 of the family's 94-position model. From Rfam's summary of the family: This family represents the bacterial glycine riboswitch. The record is from RNAcentral.
CGAAGCUCCGGAAAGUGGGGGUCUUCCCUCACGCCGAAGGUGCAACCGGGGUCCAGCUCCGGGAAUCUCUCAGGCAAAGAACGGAGGCG